UGAUAAUUCCACAGAGUCUAGGGACCACCACACAGACCUUGAUUCAUCUUCAACUGUUCUUUCAUGGAGGAAACCAAAAUGGCAGCAGAAGAAGAAGAAGAAAAGCCCCAAACUCAACCCGAAACCCUAAAACGGAUCCGAUUCGAAGAUCGAAUCAGUUCUUUACCAGACUGCUUACUCAUCGAAAUCCUCUCUCGUUUACCCUCCACAAAACACGCCCUUACAACCACCACACUCUCCAAACGCUGGCAACAUCUCUGGACCUCUCUUCACACUCUCAUCUUCACACAUCACAAAACCCACAAUCACCCACAAACCCAUUUCUAUUCCUACGUUGACAAAACCCUUUCUCAAUGUCACCACUUUAAACUCAACAAAUUAACAGUCUACACCUGUUACGACUACCGGUUUGAGUCACAGGUCAACAAUUGGAUCCGUUACGCCGUUAAUUGCAACGUCCAAGAGCUUAAUUUGACGUUGUGGAAUGUAGAAUGUGAAGCUGAGUUCUUACUGGACCAGUUCUUUUUCAACUGUUGUUGUUUUACUAAUCUGAAAUUGUCAGGAUGCGUGUUCAAUCCCAUAGGGGAUGUUAAGUGGAGUAAGCUUAACAAGUUAUGGAUUUCUCAUGCGAAUUUGGAUGAGGGUUUGAUUGAGAAUGUGUUGUCUGGGAGUCCUGUGUUGGAGACUUUGGUGUUGGAUAAUUGUUAUGGGUACAGGCGGGUUAAUAUUACGUCGAAGAGUGUUAAGAAGUUGGUGUUUUCUGGGUAUAUGGUUCCGGAUGAUGAUAAUGUUGAGGAUGUUGUUGAGAUUAAUGCUCCGGGUGUUUUGUCGCUGGCGAUUCAUGAUGAUUUGUUGUUGUGGAAGCUUUCGUUGGUGGAUGUGUCGUCGUUGGUUGAAGCGGAUUUGGAUUAUACCAAGGGUGGGCAUUAUGAUACAACAACGCCUAAAGAAGCCGAAGAAGAGAUGCUUAAAGGGUUUAUACUUGAUCUUCGACAUGUUAAGGAGCUUAAAAUUGGGAUUUUUUGUUUUAAGGUUUUGUGUCGUUUGGAAGCUAAAGGUUUCGUUUUUCCGUCGAACUUGAAGGUUCAUGAUGUUACUUCUUCGCCUUUAUACUCUGAUGAUGAUUCGAUGGGGUUUAGUGAUUGGUCCGAUAGUGAUUCUGCCGAAAGCAGAGAUUGGGAGGUGCUCUUGCUUGAUGAUGGUACUACAAGCGAUGAGGACGCGUUUGUUUCACUUGAUUAAUUGUAUGAACAAUCUGGUUGAAGCUGUAAGAGAAUUGAAACAAUAGCAGGUAUAUUGUGGCAGCUGUGGCGGAGCCUACUAAGAGGAUGGUGAGUUUCGGAUCAUGUGUGAAGUUUGUGAUCUAUGGUAUCAUGGCGAGUGUGUGAGUGUCACAAACUCAAUGGCCGAGAAGAUAGGCAAGUACGAAUGCCCUUCUUGCACCCUGAAACGAACCAACCGAGGCAAGAGUUGUGAAGCUAGUGGAAGCAAAUCUGGGACCCCCCUAAACGUAAACAAACAUGAUUUAAGUAGUUAGUUUAUUAAACAGGGGUCAAGUGACCCAUUUUCUUUUUAGUUAACUUGUUAUCAUGAUCAUAUAACCCAUUAAAUCCUCAUAUUUGCAGAGGUCAAAUGCUGGACAAAACUCAAACACUGUAGAAGAUAGUGUGAAGAGUGAAGAAAAACAAGAGCAAACAUAUUAUGGCAGCUGUGGCGGAGAGGAUGGUGAGUUUUGGAUAGGGUGUGAUGUUUGUAAGCUAUCGUAUCAUGGCGAGUGUGUGAGCAGACAUAAGCUGUGGCCAUUGAGUUUGUGACACUCACACACUUGCCAUGAUACCAUACCUUACAAACAUCACACCCUAUCCAAAACUCACCAUCCUCUCCGCCACAACUGCCACAAUAUGUUUGCUCUUGUUCUUCUUCACUCUCCACACUAUCUUCUACAGUGUUUGAGGUUUGUCCAGCACUUGACCUCUGCAAAUAUAAGGAUUUAAUGGGUUAUAUGAUCAUGAUAACAAGUUAACUAAAAAGAAAAUGGGUCACUUGACCCUUGUUUAAUAAACUAACUACUUAAUCAUGUUUGCUUACCUUUAGGGGGAUCCCAACUUUGCUUCCACUAGCUUCACAACUCUUGCCUCGGUUGGUUCAUUUCAGGGUGCAAGAAGGGCAUUAGUACUUGCCUAUCUUCUCGGCCAUUGAGUUUGUGACGCUCGCCAUGAUACCAUAGCUUACAAACAUCACACCCUAUCCAAAACCCACCAUCCUCUCCGCGACAGCUGCCACAAUAUGUAUGUUCUUGUUCUUCUUCUAUCUUCUACAGUGUUUGAGGACACGUUUGUUCAACUUGAUUAACGCUAGGAACAAUCUGGUUGAAGCUGUAAGAGAAUUGAAACAAGAGCAUGUAUAGUGUGGCAGCUGGAUGGUGAGUUUCGGAUCAUGUGUGAAGUUUGUGAUCUAUGGUAUCAUGGCGAGUGUCUGAGUGUCACAAACUCAAUGGCCGAGAAGAUAGGCAAGUACAAAUGCCCUUCCUGCACCGUGAAACGAACCAACCGAGGCAAGAGUUGUGAAACUAGUGGAAGCAAAUCUGGGAUCCCCCUAAACGUAAGCAAACAUGAUUUAAGCAGUUAGUUUAUUAAACAAGGGUCAAGUGACCCGUUUUCUUUUUAGUUUACUUGUUAUCAUGAUCAUAUAACCCAUUAAAUCCUCAUAUUUGCAGAGGUUAAGUGCUCAUAUUUGCAGAGGUUAAGUGCUGGACAAACCUCAAACACUAUAGAAGAUAGUGUGGAGAGUGAAGAAGAACAAGAACAAACAUAUUGUGGCAGCUGUGGCGGAGAGGAUGGUGAGUUUUGCAUAGGGUGUGAUGUUUGUAAGCUAUGGUAUCAUGACGAGUGUGUGAGCAGACAUAAGCUGUGGCCAUUGAGUUUGUGACACUCACACACACGCCAUGAUACCAUAGCUAACAAACAUCACACCCUAUCCAAAACUCACCUUCCUCUCCGCCACAGCUGCCAAAAUAUGUUUGCUCUUGUUCUUCUUCACUCUCCACACUAUCUUCUACAGUGUUUGAGGUUUGUCCAGCACUUGACCUCUGCAAAUAUGAGGAUUUAAUGGGUCAUAUGAUCAUGAUAACAAGUUAACUAAAAAGAAAACGGGCCACUUAACCCUUGUUUAUAAACUAACUACUUAAAUCAUGUUUGCUUACUUUUAGGGGGAUCCCAGCUUUGCUUUCACUAGCUUCACAACGCUUGCCUCGGUUGGUUCAUUUCAGGGUGCAGGAAGGGCAUUCGUACUUGCCUAUCUUCUCGGCCAUUCAGUAUGUGACACUUGCCAUGAUACCAUAGCUUACAAACAUCAGACCCUAUCCAAAACCCACCAUCCUCUCCGCCACAGCUGCCACAAUAUGUAUGUUCUUGUUCUUCUUCUAUCUUCUACAGUGUUUGAGGAAACAAAGUGCCAACCAAUGUGACACCGGACGCUGUGGCCAAGGUCGACUACUCGACUGCCGCUAUCCAUUCAAAACCUCUCAUUUUUCAUCAAAGAACCGUGACGGUUCGAAAAUAUGCGUCACUAUUUAAACAUUCAUCUCCUCCCUGUUAUAAGUAUUCCAGAUCGUGUUUUCUUACUUUCUCAUUUUUCUUCAAAGAACCUGAAUGUUGCUUCUGUUAUAAGUAUUUGAUAAUUUGUUUAUUUUGAGUUUUGAUUUGUUCUUUUAUGU
RNA transcript from Helianthus annuus (common sunflower), 3715 nucleotides. It is a transcript of the gene named putative F-box/LRR-repeat protein At3g18150, with no coding region annotated. The record is from RefSeq and is a predicted model, not a curated record. The transcript has 5 exons. NCBI's taxonomy places the organism in Eukaryota, Viridiplantae, Streptophyta, Magnoliopsida, Asterales, Asteraceae.